GCAAACUUGGUCAUUUAGAGGAAGUAAAAGUCGUAACAAGGUCUCCGUAGGUGAACCUGCGGAGGGAUCAUUACAGAGUUCAUGCCCUCCAUGGGUAGAUCUCCCACCCUUGCGUAUUCAUACCUUUGUUGCUUUGGCAGGCCGCUGGGCCUUGGUCCAGCCACCGGCCGCGAGGCUGGCGUGCGCCUGCCAGAGGAUCUCCAAACUCGGGUUGUUAGUGUCGUCUGAGUAUCAUGCAAUCGUUAAAACUUUCAACAACGGAUCUCUUGGUUCUGGCAUCGAUGAAGAACGCAGC
This 295-nucleotide unclassified non-coding RNA is filed under the name uncultured fungus. RNAcentral describes it as "partial contains small subunit ribosomal RNA, internal transcribed spacer 1, and 5.8S ribosomal RNA". The stretch from base 1 to 73 matches the Rfam family "Eukaryotic small subunit ribosomal RNA", at positions 1759 to 1831 of the family's 1831-position model. Lineage: Eukaryota; Fungi. The record is from RNAcentral.